Long non-coding RNA from Camarhynchus parvulus, 344 nucleotides. RefSeq lists it as uncharacterized. The record is from RefSeq and is a predicted model, not a curated record. Lineage: Eukaryota; Metazoa; Chordata; Aves; Passeriformes; Thraupidae. The transcript has 4 exons.
CACGUCAUCCUUGCACUGUGCAUCUGGUGUUAUGCAUAAAAGUAAUGUGAUGGAGAUGGAGAAUAUCAGACUGUGGGCAAAAUGGGAUCAAUGCCAGAAAUCAUGAGGUGACCACUGUGUUGAAAGUGAGGAAGAAGCUGCUCUGAACUGUGGAUGUUCUGGAGUUGGGCACAGAAACCUGUCACUUGUGUCUAUGUACAAACCCCUCUGGUUUCAGCAAUAAAAGAGUCUGCUUCCUCAGCUGCUGUCAGGCAGGCACUGCUGGCUGAACACUGUGUGUGCAUGUGCAGGUGGGUACAGCUCUGACCAUUUCAAUACAGCUCGAGAGGUUUUCUUACAAUGUG